RNAcentral lists this ribosomal RNA (253 nucleotides) under uncultured bacterium. RNAcentral's name for it is "partial 16S ribosomal RNA". It matches the Rfam family "Bacterial small subunit ribosomal RNA", at positions 524 to 776 of the family's 1533-position model. The record is from RNAcentral.
UACGGGGGGGGCAAGCGUUGUUCGGAAUUACUGGGCGUAAAGGGCUCGUAGGCGGCCAACUAAGUCGGACGUGAAAUCCCUCGGCUUAACCGGGGAACUGCGUCCGAUACUGGAUGGCUUGAGUUUGGGAGAGGGAUGCGGAAUUCCAGGUGUAGCGGUGAAAUGCGUAGAGAUGUGGAGGAAUACCGAUGGCGAAGGCAGCCCCCUGGGAUAACACUGACGCUCAUGCACGAAAGCGUGGGGAGCAAACAGG